UGCCCAGCAACUCCUAUCCCUACCUCCUCGUGGUACUGGCCGGGGUACGAGUAACCUUGGGGAAGAUCGGGUAACCAACCCCCGGAGGAAACUUUGGUCGUAUGCUGACAGGGAAGA
RNAcentral lists this ribozyme (117 nucleotides) under Aedes aegypti (yellow fever mosquito). Its description in RNAcentral is "drz-agam-1 ribozyme". It matches the Rfam family "drz-agam-1 ribozyme". Lineage: Eukaryota; Metazoa; Arthropoda; Insecta; Diptera; Culicidae. The record is from Rfam by way of RNAcentral.